Molecule: ribosomal RNA, 114 nt
Filed under: uncultured bacterium
Lineage: Bacteria
Description: partial 16S ribosomal RNA
Rfam family: Bacterial small subunit ribosomal RNA
Source: RNAcentral
GGCGUAAAGAGCGUGUAGGCGGAUAGAUAAGUCAGAAGUGAAAUCCAAUAGCUUAACUAUUGAACUGCUUUUGAAACUGUCUAUCUAGAGUAUGGGAGAGGUAGAUGGAAUUUC